This 1447-nucleotide ribosomal RNA is filed under the name uncultured bacterium. Its description in RNAcentral is "bacterial SSU rRNA". It matches the Rfam family "Bacterial small subunit ribosomal RNA". The record is from RNAcentral.
AGAGUUUGAUCCUGGCUCAGGAUGAACGCUGGCGGCGUGCUUAACACAUGCAAGUCGAACGAACCUUCGGGUUAGUGGCGGACGGGUGAGUAACGCGUGAGAAUCUGCCCUCAGGAGGGGGACAACAGCUGGAAACGGCUGCUAAUACCCCAUAUGCCGCGAGGUGAAAUGAAUUUCGCCUGAGGAUGAGCUCGCGUCUGAUUAGCUAGUUGGUGUAGGUAAUGGCUCACCAAGGCAUCGAUCAGUAGCUGGUCUGAGAGGAUGAUCAGCCACACUGGGACUGAGACACGGCCCAGACUCCUACGGGAGGCAGCAGUGGGGAAUUUUCCGCAAUGGGCGAAAGCCUGACGGAGCAACGCCGCGUGAGGGAUGAAGGCCUCUGGGCUGUAAACCUCUUUUAUCAAGGAAGAAGAUCUGACGGUACUUGAUGAAUAAGCCACGGCUAAUUCCGUGCCAGCAGCCGCGGUAAUACGGGAGUGGCAAGCGUUAUCCGGAAUUAUUGGGCGUAAAGCGUCCGCAGGCGGCCCUUCAAGUCUGCUGUUAAAAAGUGGAGCUUAACUCCAUCAUGGCAGUGGAAACUGUUGGGCUUGAGUGUGGUAGGGGCAGAGGGAAUUCCCGGUGUAGCGGUGAAAUGCGUAGAUAUCGGGAAGAACACCAGUGGCGAAGGCGCUCUGCUGGGCCAUCACUGACGCUCAUGGACGAAAGCCAGGGGAGCGAAAGGGAUUAGAUACCCCUGUAGUCCUGGCCGUAAACGAUGAACACUAGGUGUCGGGGGAAUCGACCCCCUCGGUGUCGUAGCCAACGCGUUAAGUGUUCCGCCUGGGGAGUACGCACGCAAGUGUGAAACUCAAAGGAAUUGACGGGGGCCCGCACAAGCGGUGGAGUAUGUGGUUUAAUUCGAUGCAACGCGAAGAGCCUUACCAGGGUUUGACAUCCUGCGAAUCUCUUGGAAACAGGAGAGUGCCUUCGGGAACGCAGUGACAGGUGGUGCAUGGCUGUCGUCAGCUCAUGUCGUGAGAUGUUGGGUUAAGUCCCGCAACGAGCGCAACCCACGUCUUUAGUUGCCAGCAUUUAGUUGGGCACUCUAGAGAGACUGCCGGUGAUAAACCGGAGGAAGGUGUGGAUGACGUCAAGUCAUCAUGCCCCUUACAUCCUGGGCUACACACGUACUACAAUGCUACGGACAAAGGGCAGCAAGUUCGCGAGGACAAGCAAAUCCCAUAAACCGUGGCUCAGUUCAGAUCGUAGGCUGCAACUCGCCUACGUGAAGGCGGAAUCGCUAGUAAUCGCAGGUCAGCAUACUGCGGUGAAUACGUUCCCGGGCCUUGUACACACCGCCCGUCACACCAUGGAAGUUGGCCACGCCCGAAGCCGUUACUCCAACCCUUGUGGAGGAGGACGUCGAAGGUGGGGCUGAUGACUGGGGUGAAGUCGUAACAAGGUAACC